Molecule: long non-coding RNA, 1150 nt
Organism: Biomphalaria glabrata
Lineage: Eukaryota; Metazoa; Mollusca; Gastropoda; Planorbidae
Exons: 9
Source: RefSeq, a predicted model, not a curated record
AAGCUAGAAAUAUUUCCGUUCAUCUCCAACUACGUUGGUCCAGGAUACUGAGCUUGAUGAACACACCAUUAAACGUGAGACUUCAGCAAGAGCAGCCACGCACAGUAAAGUUCAUCCGGCUGUGUGGAAACAUCAUUGGUUCAUCUGUCUCAUUGAGGUUAUGAACGACCCAAAGUUGCCUUCUGAUGCUGAAACAAUAAACAGACGUCCUGCCUCAAACUGGUGUAAACCUCAGACUUCCAUCUGUUCACUAUUUCAUUGACAACUCAUAAUCCCAUUCACCGAAGUACUGGUAUACGCCUCGGCGAGGUCAUCUCUCAAAGGGUGACUACAACAAUAUUUAAGGAUGAUUUCAGGGUGGCUUAUUUGUCCCCUUUUUAAUUGAGAUGUAAGGUUUUUAUCACACGGCGACAGAUCGGGCUGUCGGAAUUUAGCGAACUCUCUUCACGAAGCAAGAACCAGACCGGACUAUAGCUGUUUUACAAACUUUGAUCCAGACGGCACUUCCUUUCCGCCAUUUCCUUCCUCUAAUAUUUAUUAUACCUAUCUCCCACAAUUCCGGGAGUACCAGAAUCAGUUUCCUGUUCCUUGCUUUGUGCCGCCUCCGGUAAACAUCGGCAGAUACAAUUACAAACCAAGUCAAGGGAUUACGCAAACAAACACAAUAAGUCAAAGUGUUCGAGAAUCCAAAUAAUUGUCUUCGUGAAGUAAAUAAACAUCUUCCAGGAGUUUGAGACUACAAUGGACUUACAUUGGUUGAACCCCAACUGCCCUGAAUUUCUUUGUCCAAUGCGUAGGCUGGAGAACCUGCUUUGGAGAGACUAUGUCAAUGAAAAGCCCAACGUGGCACAUUUGCCAAGGCAGGUUUCACAGGCCGCCUAUAGUUCAAAGGUACAUGCGUCAGUGUCCAGUGAACUCUCUGUGUGCCGCAAGGUGUUCACCCAAUUUUUCACACUUUGACUGGUCCCCUUAUGAAGCUUCUUACUCUGGUCCAGAGCACAUGUGCUACAUACGUCAUCGAAACUUUGGCUAACAUUAGAAGGACAUCAGAACUUAGUGGCACAAUAACGUUAAAUGUAGUCCCUCUCGUCUGCUCAAGUUUACCGUAUUUAAGAUUGUUUGAAAUGUUGAAUUAAAAGAAGAGUUCCCA